RNAcentral lists this long non-coding RNA (989 nucleotides) under Vulpes vulpes (red fox). Its description in RNAcentral is "lncRNA (ENSVVUG00000005433.1)". The record is from RNAcentral. Lineage: Eukaryota; Metazoa; Chordata; Mammalia; Carnivora; Canidae.
CUGAGGGUCAUAUGGCUAUUUGGUUUUCCUGGAAUAAAUCUACCCUGGAUGCACCGACUAGAAAUCAUAGGUGUGGGGUGGCCAAGAGUGUUGUCUCUCUUCAACAUUUCAGUUGGCGCAUGCUGCUGGUUACAUCAAGACAGACUGGUGGGCACCUAACCAAUCUCUCCCCAUGGAAUGUUUGGCAUCCCCGCGCUCCUUUUCUUCUUUAGUUCCAGGCUUCAUGGAUGAAGAGCAAACAGGACAGAGUUCUGUUCAUCUUGGGCUUAUCCACAUGCCAAAUCCUGGCUUCCAGCCUUAUCCCUCUGUUCCAACUCCCUUAUUGUCUCCACUUUGGCAUCUUCUUAAUGAAUAGCUAUUUAAAAACCAACCAGAAAGGACACGCAAGUCUCGAAUCAAGGCAACUUGUUGAUGGAAGAAGACACACUAUCAGAAGAGGAGUGUCAAGGAGUAGAAUUGCUGAAGAUGGAACAUACAAAGCACCCAGAUGGAUUUGUGGUGGCUUGAGGACAAGGUUUCAGCAGGAGAUUAUACUAAUCACCGACUCGAUGGGCCUGUGAGCUUGAGUUCUACGUAGAGCCAGACCAUAAACAAAAAGAUCCUUCAUCUCUUCGGGACUGAAGUGCUGAGACAGUUAUUCAAAGUUCUAAGCAGUUUUUCAGACCUUCCUGAAGAUGACCUGGAGAUUCUCCAAAAUUCAGUUUGGUGAGUCUUAAAUAAGUGCUGACAAUAUGCCAAGCAGAGGGUUUGUACUAAGGAGACAGCAGUGAUUGAGAUGUCUUUCCUGUCCUUGAGGAGCUCUCAGUCUAAUGGGGGCCAUUUUUCUGUUCCAGGUGCAAAUACAGAGAUUAUGUCACACAUGGAAAUAGUUAAAUGUCUGAGAGCCUCUAUUCCAAGUAGCGUUUGAAAAUUAGUACAGAAGCAUCUGCAGUAUAAGACCAUGGGGGAAAAAAUGGAAAGUUAUCAGGAAAACAAAGGAGAAAGUAAAG